This 233-nucleotide long non-coding RNA is filed under the name Cavia porcellus (domestic guinea pig). RNAcentral's name for it is "lncRNA (ENSCPOG00000031920.1)". Lineage: Eukaryota; Metazoa; Chordata; Mammalia; Rodentia; Caviidae. The record is from RNAcentral.
CCGUGUAGCCAGUGGGAACAAGGACUCACUUGGACCACUGCCGCACCAGAACUCUUCCUCAGAUUUUAAGAUUCAGUAUCGUUGCAUUCUUGCCCUCAUUCAUCUGCUCAUGAAAAACAAAGCCAAUUAUUUCAAAGACAAGCCUCAGGACCCGGCUCAGCCUGUUUUUCCCUUUGACUGACUUAGGUGUAUUUUCAGUUGCAAGUAAUAAAAAACCAACUUUUAAAUGGAUU